CAGGUUUGAUCAUGGCUCAGGAUGAACGCUAGCUACAGGCUUAACACAUGCAAGUCGAGGGGCAGCAUUUUAGUUUGCUUGCAAACUGAAGAUGGCGACCGGCGCACGGGUGAGUAACACGUAUCCAACCUACCGAUAACUCCGGAAUAGCCUUUCGAAAGAAAGAUUAAUACCGGAUAGCAUACGAAUAUCGCAUGAUAUUUUUAUUAAAGAAUUUCGGUUAUCGAUGGGGAUGCGUUCCAUUAGUUUGUU
Molecule: ribosomal RNA, 252 nt
Filed under: uncultured bacterium
Lineage: Bacteria
Description: partial 16S ribosomal RNA
Rfam family: Bacterial small subunit ribosomal RNA
Source: RNAcentral